This 276-nucleotide ribosomal RNA is filed under the name uncultured Neisseriales bacterium. RNAcentral's name for it is "partial 16S ribosomal RNA". It matches the Rfam family "Bacterial small subunit ribosomal RNA", at positions 527 to 802 of the family's 1533-position model. The record is from RNAcentral. Lineage: Bacteria; Pseudomonadati; Pseudomonadota; Betaproteobacteria; Neisseriales.
GUAGGGUGCGAGCGUUAAUCGGAAUUACUGGGCGUAAAGCGAGCGCAGACGGUUACUUAAGCAGGAUGUGAAAUCCCCGGGCUCAACCUGGGAACUGCGUUCUGAACUGGGUGACUAGAGUGUGUCAGAGGGAGGUAGAAUUCCACGUGUAGCAGUGAAAUGCGUAGAGAUGUGGAGGAAUACCGAUGGCGAAGGCAGCCUCCUGGGAUAACACUGACGUUCAUGCUCGAAAGCGUGGGUAGCAAACAGGAUUAGAUACCCUGGUAGUCAAGGGCG